UAUUGGUCAAUAGCUUAACGGCUGAACCAGCAACUUGGAGGAAUGAAGAGGGAAAACUGGUAAAAGGUGAUGUACCUACAAGUAUUAGAAAUUAAUAUGAGAUUAACUAAGUUAAUUAAAAUUCUGAGCAGAUAUUUGAUUAUGACACUAUCUGUAUAGGUCUUGACCAAGUCACGUGCCAGCAGUCGCGGUAAUACGUGGAAGACAAGUGUUAUUCAUCUUUAUUGGGUUUAAAGGGUACCUAGACGGUUAAUUAAACAAUUAAAUGUACUAAUUAACUAGAGUUUAAUGUAAGAAAGUUGAGUACUGUUAGAGUAGAGAUAAAAUUCUAGGAUACUAUCAGGAACUGGUAAGAGCGAAGGCUACCUUCAAUGUAAAAACUGACGUU
RNAcentral lists this ribosomal RNA (388 nucleotides) under Ocellularia rugosothallina. RNAcentral's name for it is "SSU rRNA". It matches the Rfam family "Bacterial small subunit ribosomal RNA", at positions 362 to 747 of the family's 1533-position model. Lineage: Eukaryota; Fungi; Ascomycota; Lecanoromycetes; Ostropales; Graphidaceae. The record is from RNAcentral.